Molecule: long non-coding RNA, 451 nt
Filed under: Homo sapiens (human)
Lineage: Eukaryota; Metazoa; Chordata; Mammalia; Primates; Hominidae
Description: HSALNT0060703
Source: RNAcentral
GAAUUCUGCUAGAUUUCUUUUACUUAUCUAUAUUAGGUUAUUGCUUUAACUACUGUUGCAAAUAGUGUCGUGUGUUCUCUCUGUCAGCUGCUAAGACACCUCUUCUCCACGAAGUGUAUGAAUUUGGGGACUGAAGUUCCUUCUACCUUGUCACUCUGCCAACCCUAACCCAUAACUUUUACUCUCUAGUCUAAGAUAUCUACCCCAGCUCCCACCAGCACAUCUGCAUUUUAGCCAAGGGAAAGAAGGAAGGGGAGAACACGUUCCUUUCCCAGAAGGUACAACCUAAGAUCACUUCUCAAAUCCCAUUAGUCAGAACUAUAACUGGGAAGACUGGAUAGUGUAAUCAGCAGCCAGGCAGACAUGUGUCCAACUAAAAUGUAGUGUUCUGUUACUGAAGAAAGAAGAGGAGAAUGGAUAUUGGAGUUACUAGUCUCUGCAAUGUUAUUUC